AAAGUUCUUCACAAUACCCACUGCCCACCAAGAAGAAAACUAUUCUUGAAGUCAGUUCUUCACAAAACCCACUUUCACACACAGUGAACUGCCUGUUGGUAUGGAAGAUAAAGAAGACGCAUUGUCUUCUCCAAUAAAACCAUAGAUCUGACAUGACCGCCGUAUAUUUUUGAAUGGUACAAUCUAUAGUCUAUACUAUUAACCUUCUUGUUGCCUUUAGAGAACCACAAAGUAAUUGCAAAGAAGAAACAAAUUUCCACUUUGCCCAACCUUUAAACACAACAUAAUGUAUUU
RNAcentral lists this long non-coding RNA (294 nucleotides) under Actinidia chinensis (golden kiwifruit). RNAcentral's name for it is "long non-coding RNA (ACHI_LNC004673)". The record is from RNAcentral. Lineage: Eukaryota; Viridiplantae; Streptophyta; Magnoliopsida; Ericales; Actinidiaceae.